UGGAAAAGAAGUCCUGACAUGAUCUGCUUC
This 30-nucleotide non-coding RNA is filed under the name Mus musculus (house mouse). Lineage: Eukaryota; Metazoa; Chordata; Mammalia; Rodentia; Muridae. The record is from RNAcentral.